Oncorhynchus keta (chum salmon) is the source of this 933-nucleotide long non-coding RNA. RefSeq lists it as uncharacterized. NCBI's taxonomy places the organism in Eukaryota, Metazoa, Chordata, Actinopteri, Salmoniformes, Salmonidae. The record is from RefSeq and is a predicted model, not a curated record. The transcript has 5 exons.
AAGGGAUUCUGGGAUUGGAGUUAGUAGGGCUGGGAUCCUGUUCAACGAUCGUUCCUAUAGGUCUCCAUAGAAGCUGACAGGGAUUCUGGGAUUGGAGUUAGUAGGGCUGGGAUCCUGUUCAACGAUCGUUCCUAUAGGUCUCCAUAGAAGCUGACAGGGAUGCUGGGAUUGGAGUUAGUAGGGCUGGGAUCCUGUUCAACGAUCGUUCCUAUAGGUCUCCAUAGAAGCUGACAGGGAUGCUGGGAUUGGAGUUAGUAGGGCUGGGAUCCUGUUCAACGAUCGUUCCUAUAGGUCUCCAUAGAAGCUGACAGGGAUGCUGGGAUUGGAGUUAGUAGGGCUGGGAUCCUGUUCAACGAUCGUUCCUAUAGGUCUCCAUAGAAGCUGACAGGGAUGCUGGGAUUGGAGUUAGUAGGGCUGGGAUCCUGUUCAACGAUCGUUCCUAUUGGUCUCCAUAGAAGCUGACAGGGAUGCUGGGAUUGGAGUUAGUAGGGCUGGGAUCCUGUUCAACGAUCGUUCCUAUAGGUCUCCAUAGAAGUUGACAGGGAUGCUGGGAUUGGAGUUAGUAGGGCUGGGAUCCUGUUCAACGAUCGUUCCUAUAGGUCUCCAUAGAAGUUGACAGGGAUGCUGGGAUUGGAGUUAGUAGGGCUGGGAUCCUGUUCAACGAUCGUUCCUAUAGGUCUCCAUAGAAGCUGACAGGGAUGCUGGGAUUGGAGUUAGUAGGGCUGGGAUCCUAUUCAACGAUCGUUCCUAUUGGUCUCCAUAGAAGCUGACAGGGAUGCUGGGAUCCUGUUCAACGAUCGUUCCUAUAGGUCUCCAUAGAAGCUGACAGGGAUGCUGGGAUUGGAGUUAGUAGGGCUGGGAUCCUAUUCAACGAUCGUUCCUAUUGGUCUCCAUAGAAGCUGACAGGGAUGCUGGGAUCCUGUUCAACGAUCG